AGCUAAUACAUGCUAAAAUCCCGACUUCGGAAGGGAUGUAUUUAUUAGAUAAAAAACCAAUGCCCUUCGGGGCUCCUUGGUGAUUCAUAAUAACUCAACGAAUCGCAUGGCCUUGCGCUGGCGAUGGUUCAUUCAAAUUUCUGCCCUAUCAACUUUCGAUGGUAGGAUAGUGGCCUACCAUGGUCUCAACGGGUAACGGGGAAUUAGGGUUCUAUUCCGGAGAGGGAGCCUGAGAAACGGCUACCACAUCCAAGGAAGGCAGCAGGCGCGCAAAUUACCCAAUCCCAAUUCGGGGAGGUAGUGACAAUAAAUACUGAUACAGGGCUCUUUUGGGUCUUGUAAUUGGAAUGAGUACAAUCUAAAUCCCUUAACGAGGAACAAUUGGAGGGCAAGUCUGGUGCCAGCAGCCGCGGUAAUUCCAGCUCCAAUAGCGUAUAUUAAAGUUGUUGCCGUUAAAAAGCUCGUAGUUGAACCUUGGGUUUGGCUGAUCUGUCCUCCUAAUCGAGCGCACGGAUUCGGUCGGACCUUUCCUUCUGGGGAGCUGCAUGCCCUUCGCUGGGCGUGUCGGGGAACCAGGACUUUUACCUUGAAAAAAUUAGAGUGUUCAAAGCAGGCCUUUGCUCGAAUACAUUAGCAUGGAAUAAUAGAAUAGGACAGAGGUUCUAUUUUGUUGGUUUCUAGGACCGCUGUAAUGAUUAAUAGGGAUAGUCGGGGGCGUCCGUAUUCAAUUGUCAGAGGUGAAAUUCUUGGAUUUAUUGAAGACGAACUACUGCGAAAGCAUUCGCCAAGGAUGUUUUCAUUAAUCAGUGAACGAAAGUUAGGGGAUCGAAGACGAUCAGAUACCGUCGUAGUCUUAACCAUAAACUAUGCNNNNNNNNNNNNNNNNNNNNNNNNNNNNNNNNNNNNNNNNNNNNNNNNNNCAGGCUGAACUUAAGAAUUGACGGAAGGGCACCACAAGGCGUUAACGAUCUACCAAGCCGUAGAUGCUCUGCGCCGAACAGGAGCCAGAAAUGGUCGGUGGUGUGCCCGGGAACAUGUUAAAUCCUAGUGCGUCCUCCCCCGGGAGGUCGUGCGACACCCUUGAAUUGCGGGAAACCUCCUUAGAGUCUCUCUCUACUAAGCGGCCGGGGAAACCCGACCGUGGCCACGCCAAUUGCGUCGGGUACAGUCAUAACGAGAGAGAAUUGGGCAAUCCGCAGCCAAGCCCCUACCACGCCUCCCCCCGGGGGGGCGUCACGGGGAAGGUUCAGAGACUAAGUAGGGGUGGGUUCGGCCGGACGGCCAGGGCCUAAGAUAUAGUCCAAUCCUCCCGGGAAACCUCGAGGUACCUAUCACAAACCAGGUCGACCCCAACAACAUGGGAGCCUGCGGCUUAAUUUGACUCAACACGGGGAAACUCACCAGGUCCAGACAUGCUUAGGAUUGACAGAUUGAUAGCUCUUUCUUGAUUGUAUGGGUGGUGGUGCAUGGCCGUUUUUAGUUGGUGGAGUGAUUUGUCUGCUUAAUUGCGAUAACGAACGAGACCUUGACCUGCUAAAUAGCCCAACCCACUUUGGUGGAUUGCUGGCUUCUUAGAGGGACUUUUGGCUCAAGCCAAUGGAAGUACGAGGCAAAAACAGGUCUGUGAUGCCCUUAGAUGUUCUGGGCCGCACGCGCGCUACACUGACAGAGCCAGCGAGUACAUCACCUUGGCCGAAAGGUCUGGGUAAUCUUGUUAAACUCUGUCGUGCUGGGGAUAGAGCAUUGCAAUUAUUGCUCUUCAACGAGGAAUGCCUAGUAAGCGCAAGUCAUCAGCUUGCGUUGAUUACGUCCCUGCCCUUUGUACACACCGCCCGUCGCUACUACCGAUUGAAUGGCUCAGUGAGGCCUUGGGAUUGGCCAGGGGAGAUGGGCGACCAUCACCCCAGGCCGAAAACUUGGUCAAACUUGGUCAUUUAGAGGAAGUAAAAGUCGUAACAAGGUUUUCGUAGGCGCUUGCGUCUCGGAAUAAGUUAAUGCAUCCUUCUGCAGUGACACUUAUUUGGAAGCCUUAGAUAACCGCCAGAAAUGGUACGGUUCCCGCGACUUUAAACAAGCAGGAUCCUAAGGGUUAGUGGUGCCGCCUUUGCUUAAUUUAUUUAAGCACGCGGUGCUGCGACACUAUCAAAUUGCGGGAAGUCCCUUAGAGCCGGCAGUACCGCUCCCUCGUCGAAAUGAUCGGGGCAGCACCAGGUUAAUGACCUCGGGUAUGGUAACAAUCUCGCCGGAUUGGGUUACCUGCAGCCAAGUCCUCCGCGGAGGGGUGGUCGUCCACGGGCGGCCGUCUUUCGCGGUCGGAUGCAGUUCACAGGCCAAAUGGUAGUGGGUGGUCCCCUUUUGUAAGGGCGAUUGCUUAAGAUAUGGUCGGGCCCCCAGGGAAAUCCUGGGGGGUGAGUUCACAAAAGAAUAAGUAACAAGAACAAACAAAAACGUUCCGUAGGUGAACCUGCGGAAGGAUCAUUA
RNAcentral lists this ribosomal RNA (2481 nucleotides) under Chaetothyriales sp. AL3. RNAcentral describes it as "partial 18S ribosomal RNA". The stretch from base 1 to 1992 matches the Rfam family "Eukaryotic small subunit ribosomal RNA". The record is from RNAcentral. Lineage: Eukaryota; Fungi; Ascomycota; Eurotiomycetes; Chaetothyriales.